GACGAACGCUGGCGGCGUGCUUAACACAUGCAAGUCGAACGGAAAGGCCCUGCUUUUGUGGGGUGCUCGAGUGGCGAACGGGUGAGUAACACGUGAGUAACCUGCCCUUGACUUUGGGAUAACUUCAGGAAACUGGGGCUAAUACCGGAUAGGAGCUCCUGCUGCAUGGUGGGGGUUGGAAAGUUUCGGCGGUUGGGGAUGGACUCGCGGCUUAUCAGCUUGUUGGUGGGGUAGUGGCUUACCAAGGCUUUGACGGGUAGCCGGCCUGAGAGGGUGACCGGCCACAUUGGGACUGAGAUACGGCCCAGACUACUACGGGAGGCAGCAGUGGGGAAUGGUACACAAUGGGCGGAAGCCUGAUGUAGCAAAGCCGCGUCCGGGAUGUCGGCCAUCGGUUUGUAAUCCACUUUCGCCUUUGACGGAGUGUGAGUGACGGUAAUGGGUAAAGAAGCACCGGCUAACUACGUG
This 468-nucleotide ribosomal RNA is filed under the name uncultured bacterium. RNAcentral's name for it is "partial 16S ribosomal RNA". It matches the Rfam family "Bacterial small subunit ribosomal RNA", at positions 28 to 507 of the family's 1533-position model. The record is from RNAcentral.